RNAcentral lists this ribosomal RNA (252 nucleotides) under Synechococcus sp. UW69. RNAcentral describes it as "partial 16S ribosomal RNA". It matches the Rfam family "Bacterial small subunit ribosomal RNA", at positions 1283 to 1533 of the family's 1533-position model. The record is from RNAcentral. Lineage: Bacteria; Bacillati; Cyanobacteriota; Cyanophyceae; Synechococcales; Synechococcaceae.
GUGGCUCAGUUCAGAUCGUAGGCUGCAACUCGCCUACGUGAAGGAGGAAUCGCUAGUAAUCGCAGGUCAGCAUACUGCGGUGAAUACGUUCCCGGGCCUUGUACACACCGCCCGUCACACCAUGGAAGUUGGCCACGCCCGAAGCCGUUACUCCAACCCUUGUGGAGGAGGACGUCGAAGGUGGGGCUGAUGACUGGGGUGAAGUCGUAACAAGGUAUCCGUACCGGAAGGUGCGGAUGGAUCACCUCCUAA